RNAcentral lists this ribosomal RNA (506 nucleotides) under uncultured Pseudomonadota bacterium. RNAcentral's name for it is "bacterial SSU rRNA". It matches the Rfam family "Bacterial small subunit ribosomal RNA", at positions 397 to 896 of the family's 1533-position model. Lineage: Bacteria; Pseudomonadati; Pseudomonadota. The record is from RNAcentral.
CCGCGUGUGUGAAGAAGGCCUUCGGUUGUAAAGCACUUCGGCCGGAACGAAAUCGCGCGGGCUAACACUCCGCGUGGAUGACGGUACCGGAAGAAGAAGCACCGGCUAACUACGUGCCAGCAGCCGCGGUAAUACGUAGGGUGCGAGCGUUAAUCGGAAUUACUGGGCGUAAAGUGUGCGCAGGUGGCCGCGCAAGUCGAGUGUGAAAGCCCCGGGCUUAACUUGGGAAUUGCGCUCGAAACUACGUGGCUAGAGUGUGGCAGAGGAAGGUGGAAUUCCACGUGUAGCGGUGAAAUGCGUAGAGAUGUGGAGGAACACCGAUGGCGAAGGCAGCCUUCUGGGCCAACACUGACGCUCAUGCACGAAAGCGUGGGGAGCAAACAGGAUUAGAUACCCUGGUAGUCCACGCCCUAAACGAUGAUGACUAGUUGUUGGGGGAGUUAAAUCCCUUAGUAACGCAGCUAACGCGUGAAGUCAUCCGCCUGGGGAGUACGGUCGCAAGAUUA